AAGCGGUGGAGCAUGUGGUUAAUUCGAAGCAACGCGAAGAACCUUACCAGGUCUUGACAUCCCGAUGCUAUUCUAGAGAUAGAAAGUUACUUCGGUACAUCGGUGACAGGUGGUGCAUGGUUGUCGUCAGCUCGUGUCGUGAGAUGUUGGGUUAAGUCCCGCAACGAGCGCAACCCCUAUUGUUAGUUGCCAUCAUUCAGUUGGGCACUCUAGCGAGACUGCCGGUAAUAAACCGGAGGAAGGUGGGAUGACGUCAAAUCAUCAUGCCCCUUAUGACCUGGGCUACACACGUGCUACAAUGGUUGGUACAACGAGUUGCGAGUCGGUGACGGCGAGCUAAUCUCUUAAAGCCAAUCUCAGUUCGGAUUGUAGGCUGCAACUCGCCUACAUGAAGUCGGAAUCGCUAGUAAUCGCGGAUCAGCACGCCGCGGUGAAUACGUUCCCGGGCCUU
This 451-nucleotide ribosomal RNA is filed under the name uncultured Streptococcus sp. Its description in RNAcentral is "bacterial SSU rRNA". It matches the Rfam family "Bacterial small subunit ribosomal RNA", at positions 927 to 1382 of the family's 1533-position model. The record is from RNAcentral. Lineage: Bacteria; Bacillati; Bacillota; Bacilli; Lactobacillales; Streptococcaceae.